This 520-nucleotide ribosomal RNA is filed under the name uncultured Glomus. Its description in RNAcentral is "SSU rRNA". It matches the Rfam family "Eukaryotic small subunit ribosomal RNA", at positions 569 to 1085 of the family's 1831-position model. The record is from RNAcentral. Lineage: Eukaryota; Fungi; Glomeromycota; Glomeromycetes; Glomerales; Glomeraceae.
AGCAGCCGCGGUAAUUCCAGCUCCAAUAGCGUAUAUUAAAGUUGUUGCAGUUAAAAAGCUCGUAGUUGAAUUUCGGGACCAAUCUGCCGGUCGUGCCUCCGGUACGCACUGGUUUUAUUGGUCUCUCCCUUCUGACGAACCAUGAUGUCAUUAAUUUGGUGUCAUGGGGAAUCAGGACUGUUACUUUGAAAAAAUUAGAGUGUUUAAAGCAGGCUCACGCUUGAAUACAUUAGCAUGGAAUAAUGAAAUAGGACGUUUGACCAUAUUUUUGUUGGUUUCUAGGAUCGACGUAAUGAUUAAUAGGGAUAGUUGGGGGCAUUAGUAUUCAAUUGUCAGAGGUGAAAUUCUUUGGAUUUAUUGAAGACUAACUACUGCGAAAGCAUUUUGCCAAGGAUGUUUUCAUUAAUCAAGAACGAAAGUUAGGGGAUCGAAGACGAUCAGAUACCGUCGUAGUCUUAACCAUAAACUAUGCCGACUAGGGAUCGGAUGAUGUUAAUUUUUUUCAAUGACUCAUUCGGCG